CUUUCUUUCAUUCAAGUGGUAAUUCUAUUCAAGAUGCCCUCAGUUUGGUGGAACUCAUGUAGUCAGUUUUAUAUUAUGAGAUUGAUUUCUUAAUUUUUGGCCAGCGGGAAUGGUCUUCUGUCAUUCCAAACCUCUCCUUCAAAGAAACUUGAUGUCCAUUCUAAGUCACAUGUCCUAUUUCUGAGAACAAAUUUUGCUCCGAAGGAUACACGCUAGUCAAGAAAGCUACGUUGGGCUACCCCAGUGAGAGUAUUACAAAAAUUAGCAGCUUGUUCAUGAUGAUAAUGCUCUGAUGGCUAUUGAGUUAGUGAAAAAUGUGUGUAGAUGAAGAUUGAAAAGAAAUCGGGAAGAGGCUCCAAAUAUUGACAUAAUCUUCUCCAUUGAUGGCAACACAAUCUGUGGCCAUACAUGAAUGCCAGUAGGUCCUGCUUUUGGUGCUCUCACAUCAUCAGUUUUGUUUGGGAUAUUGGUGGACAAUUGGCCUGCCAAAAAUGCUAAGAAAGAUGAAACUGCUUCGACAACAAAUUUAAGCUGCUAAUAUUGAUAAUCCUCUGAAGAAUAUCAAGAUAGCAUAAAUCUGGCUUUGUCCAUAAUGGAGACAGGUGAGGGGGAUGCACUUCAAUGCAGAAGUAGUCUUCCCAAUUGGUAAUCAGCUAGUGUCCUCCAAAAGACAGGAGAGAAGCAAUGCUGAAUGUGGGUGUGCAGAACAUGCUAUUUUUGUGGAGAGUCAUUUCCAUUCGUCAAACCAGCUUGAAGUCAAUGCCGAUAUUCAUGUUAACCUGGAAGUUUUGGUGUUUUUCUUCAUUUUCUUCCUUGUUAUUCUAAUGGAAAUUUUGCUAGAACCUAAACGUUUGAUGUUAAUACGAGGCACCCUAAUCAAUUUCCAGAAGUCAGGAGAUUAUUCUGAGCUUCUCAAUUUCUAUACUCCUUUUUGGACUGGUAAGAAUGAUUAUUACGAGGCACCCAA
This is a long non-coding RNA of Coffea arabica (coffee), 967 nucleotides long. RefSeq lists it as uncharacterized. The record is from RefSeq and is a predicted model, not a curated record. Lineage: Eukaryota; Viridiplantae; Streptophyta; Magnoliopsida; Gentianales; Rubiaceae.